Molecule: transfer RNA, 70 nt
Filed under: Aphaenogaster famelica
Lineage: Eukaryota; Metazoa; Arthropoda; Insecta; Hymenoptera; Formicidae
Description: tRNA-Thr
Source: RNAcentral
AGUUUUAUAGUUUAAAAAAAAACUUUAAUUUUGUAAAUUAACAAUAUAUUUUUAAUAAUAUUCUAACUAC